AUGGCCAUGGCCAUGUAUCUUAUCGUUUCUAGGAACAACCAUCCACACAGUCCCAGCUCAACGGAGCCUUCCAGGAAGUUCUUCAUUGGGGGCAACUGAAAGAUGAAUGAGAGGAAGAAGUGCCUGGGAGAACUCAUUUGUAUCCUGAACCUUGCUAAGGUGCCCGCAGACACCGAGGUGGUUUAUGCACCGCCCCCCACCACACACACCACCUGCAUGGACUUUGCCAGGCAGAAGCUAGAUCCCAAGGUUGCUGUGGCUGCGCAGAACUGCUACAAAGUGACCAAUGGGGCCUUCACUGGGGAGAUCAGCCCUGGUAUGAUCAAAGACUUAGGAGCCACAUGGGUAGUGCUGGGGCACUGGGAGAGAAGGCACGUCUUGUCUUUGGGGAGUCGGAUGAGCUGACUGGGCAGAAAGUAGCCCAUGCCCUAGCUGAGGGGCUCGGAGUGAUUGGCUGCAUUGGGGAGAAGUUAAAUGAAAGGGAAGCUGGCAUCACCGAGAAGGUUGUUUUCGAUCAAAUCAAUGUCAUCACAGACAAUGUGAAGGACUGGAGCAAAGUGGUCCUGGCCUAUGAACCUGUAUGGGUCAUUGGUACGGGCAAGACUGCAACCCCUCAACAGACCCAGGAAGUGCAUGAGAGGCUUCGGGGAUGGCUGAAAUCCAAUGUCUCUGAUGCGGUGGCUCAGAGCACCGGAAUCAUUUAUGGAGGUUCUGUGACCGGAGCAACCUGCAAAGAGCUGGCAAGCCAGCCUGACGGCUUCCUCGUGGGUGGGGUUUCCCUCAAGCCUGAAUUUGUGGACAUCAUCAAUGGCAAACAAUAA
Molecule: non-coding RNA, 821 nt
Organism: Myodes glareolus (Bank vole)
Lineage: Eukaryota; Metazoa; Chordata; Mammalia; Rodentia; Cricetidae
Source: RefSeq, a predicted model, not a curated record